UAUCUACUCCCUCCGUUCCGAAUUACUCGUCGCAGAAAUGGAUGUAUCUAGAAUACAUCUAGAUGGAUGUAUCUAGAAUACAUCUAGAUACAUCCAUUUCUGCGACGAGUAAUUCGGAACGGAGGGAGUAGCAU
Molecule: non-coding RNA, 134 nt
Organism: Triticum aestivum (bread wheat)
Lineage: Eukaryota; Viridiplantae; Streptophyta; Magnoliopsida; Poales; Poaceae
Source: Rfam